RNAcentral lists this ribosomal RNA (253 nucleotides) under uncultured bacterium. Its description in RNAcentral is "partial 16S ribosomal RNA". It matches the Rfam family "Bacterial small subunit ribosomal RNA", at positions 524 to 776 of the family's 1533-position model. The record is from RNAcentral.
UACGUAGGGUGCAAGCGUUGUCCGGAAUUAUUGGGCGUAAAGAGCUCGUAGGCGGCUUGUCGCGUCGGCUGUGAAACCCUGGGGCUCAACCCCGGGCCUGCAGCCGAUACGGGCAAGCUAGAAUUCGGUAGGGGAGACUGGAAUUCCUGGUGUAGCGGUGAAAUGCGCAGAUAUCGGGAGGAACACCAAUGGCGAAGGCAGCUCGCUGGGACGUUACUGACGCUGAGACGCGAAAGCGUGGGGAGCAAACAGG